This 468-nucleotide ribosomal RNA is filed under the name uncultured bacterium. RNAcentral describes it as "partial 16S ribosomal RNA". It matches the Rfam family "Bacterial small subunit ribosomal RNA", at positions 28 to 507 of the family's 1533-position model. The record is from RNAcentral.
GACGAACGCUGGCGGCGUGCUUAACACAUGCAAGUCGAACGGAAAGGCCCUGCUUUUGUGGGGUGCUCGAGUGGCGAACGGGUGAGUAACACGUGAGUAACCUGCCCUUGACUUUGGGAUAACUUCAGGAAACUGGGGCUAAUACCGGAUAGGAGCUCCUGCUGCAUGGUGGGGGUUGGAAAGUUUCGGCGGUUGGGGAUGGACUCGCGGCUUAUCAGCUUGUUGGUGGGGUAGUGGCUUACCAAGGCUUUGACGGGUAGCCGGCCUGAGAGGGUGACCGGCCACAUUGGGACUGAGAUACGGCCCAGACUCCUACGGGAGGCAGCAGUGGGGAAUAUUGCACAAUGGGCGGAAGCCUGAUGCAGCAACGCCGCGUGCGGGAUGACGGCCUUCGGGUUGUAAACCGCUUUCGCCUGUGACGAAGCGUGAGUGGCGGUAAUGGGUAAAGAAGCACCGGCUAACUACGAG